Non-coding RNA from Myotis lucifugus (little brown bat), 75 nucleotides. NCBI's taxonomy places the organism in Eukaryota, Metazoa, Chordata, Mammalia, Chiroptera, Vespertilionidae. The record is from Rfam.
GGUGGUUUUCGGGUGAUGCACCCUGGAAUCAGGCUCCCUCAUCUCUGGUUCUGUGUGCAUCACCCGAGAACCACU